GACCACUUAGCUCAGCUGGCUAGAGCGUCACGUUGACAUCGUGAAGGUCGGAGGUUCAAGUCCUCCAGUGGUCA
Molecule: transfer RNA, 74 nt
Filed under: Minisyncoccota bacterium
Lineage: Bacteria; Bacillati; Minisyncoccota
Description: tRNA-Val
Rfam family: tRNA
About the family: Transfer RNA (tRNA) molecules are approximately 80 nucleotides in length. Their secondary structure includes four short double-helical elements and three loops (D, anti-codon, and T loops).
Source: RNAcentral